CCUACGGGGGGCUGCAGUGGGGAAUCUUGGACAAUGGGCGCAAGCCUGAUCCAGCCAUGCCGCGUGAGUGAUGAAGGCCCUAGGGUUGUAAAACUCUUUCGUGGGGGACGAUAAUGACGGUACCCCAAGAAGAAGCUCCGGCUAACUUCGUGCCAGCAGCCGCGGUAAUACGAAGGGGGCUAGCGUUGUUCGGAUUUACUGGGCGUAAAGCGCGUGUAGGCGGACUGGAAAGUUGGGGGUGAAAUCCCGAGGCUCAACCUCGGAACUGCCUCCAAAACUUCCAGUCUGGACUCAAGCAGAGGCAAGUGGAAUUGCGAGUGUAGAGGUGAAAUUCGUAGAUAUUCGCAGGAACACCAGUGGCGAAGGCGACUUGCUGGGCUUGUAGUGACGCUGAGACGCGAAAGCGUGGGGAGCAAACAGGAUUAGAUACCCCAGUAGUC
This 440-nucleotide ribosomal RNA is filed under the name uncultured bacterium. RNAcentral describes it as "partial 16S ribosomal RNA". It matches the Rfam family "Bacterial small subunit ribosomal RNA", at positions 338 to 795 of the family's 1533-position model. The record is from RNAcentral.